AUUGAACGCUGGCGGCAUGCUUUACACAUGCAAGUCGAACGGCAGCACAGGGAGCUUGCUCCUGGGUGGCGAGUGGCGAACGGGUGAGUAAUGUAUCGGAACGUGCCUGGUAGUGGGGGAUAACUACUCGAAAGAGUGGCUAAUACCGCAUGAGAUCUUUGGAUGAAAGCGGGGGACCUUCGGGCCUCGUGCUACUGGAGCGGCCGAUAUCGGAUUAGGUUGUUGGUGGGGUAAAGGCCUACCAAGCCUGCGAUCUGUAGCUGGUCUGAGAGGACGACCAGCCACACUGGGACUGAGACACGGCCCAGACUCCUACGGGAGGCAGCAGUGGGGAAUUUUGGACAAUGGGCGCAAGCCUGAUCCAGCAAUGCCGCGUGCAGGACGAAGGCCUUCGGGUUGUAAACUGCUUUUGUACAGAACGAAAAGUCUCUGGCUAAUAUCUAGAGAUCAUGACGGUACUGUAAGAAUAAGCACCGGCUAACUACGUG
Molecule: ribosomal RNA, 488 nt
Filed under: uncultured bacterium
Lineage: Bacteria
Description: partial 16S ribosomal RNA
Rfam family: Bacterial small subunit ribosomal RNA
Source: RNAcentral